This 918-nucleotide long non-coding RNA is filed under the name Numida meleagris (helmeted guineafowl). Its description in RNAcentral is "lncRNA (ENSNMEG00000005694.1)". Lineage: Eukaryota; Metazoa; Chordata; Aves; Galliformes; Numididae. The record is from RNAcentral.
CAUCAGUGUGAAGUACCAUGCAGCAGUAAUCAAUGUAGAACAAAACUGUCAAUAUGGAAAAUGAAAUAUUUUAGACUAAAAUUUCAAGGCUUAGUUGUAGUCCUGUAGACUAAACACCAGUUGUUUAAAACUGUUUGUUUAAAUGUGUCCACGUAGAUUCUCUUCCUCAAUAAAUGCAACACAUAAGAUUACAAAUACUCAUUUUCCUUUUACACAGACAGAAAUGCCUUGAAAAGGACUCUACCUCUUAUAUUGAGACUGAAAGACUUCCAGAGGUGUUAAUGUACUCAUGAAGAAUACCAUCCUGGUUACCAUAACAUUCUAUAGAAUGUUACCACACUGCCAGCAGAGAAACUACCUUACUUACAUGGAUUCAUUUCACCAUUUUAAGCAGUGAGGGUAUCUUCCUUGUAGAACAUUUCACAUGACAUUUGCAGAGAGAGGCUGUUCAAAUGGAACCAGGAAAUUCAGGAAAACCUGCUAAAAUGAGGGACCUGUGGAAUUUCCAUCUGGAGACAGUCAUUUAUCAACAGGUGAAGCAGAAGAGAGAGAACAUGCUAAAAAAGUGGUCAUGCUCAAGGAGCAGUGGUGGAGGCUACUCGCUGCAAAGCAGUGAAGAGAAAUCAAUGAGCCUGCAUCUGGCAGACAUGUACAAGAAUGUCAUAAACAACACUUCUCACCGCCACAUUAAACAGUAUGUUCAGUGACCAGCAGAGUGGAAAAUAGAUCUCAUCUUUCAUUCUAAAGAUAGUAUUUCCACAGGGCAGAAAAGAUGCUGUAAAACAUCAAAACAAUUAAAGAGGAUCUAACUUUCUUUUUCUUCCUUACCACUGUAGAAACAUGAAUGUUACUUCUCAUUUGUUAAACUUAUUACCCUGUUGCAGCACGUUAGUACAUAAAUUCAAGUUAAUAUCAGAG